Molecule: unclassified non-coding RNA, 1709 nt
Filed under: Ooceraea biroi (clonal raider ant)
Lineage: Eukaryota; Metazoa; Arthropoda; Insecta; Hymenoptera; Formicidae
Description: uncharacterized LOC105287072, transcript variant X5
Source: RNAcentral
AAUUUUCUAUAGCCAUAUAUGUUUCGAACUUCGUGAAGAUAUGACUCGUCUCGAAAAUCAUUUCAGUCUCAACAGAAUUCUUUUACUUGCUAUAGGCCUCUGGCCAUAUGAGCAAUCGAUAUUUUCUCGGCUUCAAUUUAUUCUUUUCUCUGUUAUUCUUAUGAGUGCUAUUGUAUUCCAGCUUACAGUAUUUUUGACUUCAACAUGUACUCCGGAUCUGAUUCUUAAGGUUUCCUCUACUGUGCUUAUAUUUUGUGUAUUUUUAAUAAAAUACAUCUCGUUGGGUUUUAAUGUUGAUUCAGUGAAAGAAUUGUUUACUCACCUGCAAUACAUACAUGAUGAGUUAAAGGAUAAAAACGAAAUUGCUAUCACAGAUGAGUAUGGCCAUAAUGCAAAACGUUGCACGGCUGUCCUAAUAAUGAUUUCCAUGGUUGGCACAUGCUUAUUUGUAGUUAUUCAUUUCUGGUCGGAUGUUCUUGAUGUUAUUUUCCAGAUAAACAUAUCCCGAUCGCAUAAUUUGCCCAUCAUAACAGAAUAUUUUAUUAAUCAAGAAAAAUAUUACUAUUUAAUUCUGCUGCACCUAGGCAUAUCAACUUAUAUAGGAUUUUUUAUAACAUUAGCAAUAGGAACAAUGCUCAUUACAUUCUUUCACUACACCUGCGGCGUGUUUAGAAUUGCUAGCUAUCGCAUCAAGCAUUCAAUAACAUUCAACAUGAUACAAAACAACAGGAAAAAUGAAAAUUUGAUAUCCAAAAGGAUAACCUAUGCUGUAAAUAUUCAUCGUCAAGCUAUGAUGUUAUCGAGAUGUAUGGUAUCUAGAUUUCAAAGAAUGUAUUGUUGCUUGAUUCUGUUUGGAGUGAUUGCUUUAAGCAUCAACUUAUUUCGAAUUUGUCAGAUUGCAUCUUUGAAAACUCCUCUUAAGGAGAUAAUGAUGCCUUUUGUUGUUGUUGUUGGCAGUCUCGUGUACAUGUUUACUGCAAAUUACCUUGGUCAAGAUAUAACGGAUCAUUGUAAAGAUGUAUUUCUUACUGCAUACAACAUUCAGUGGUAUAUAGCUCCGUUGCGAGUACAGAGCUUGAUAUUGUUCCUGUUGCAAAGGGGCUCAACGGAUUUUAAAGUAAAUAUCGGUGGAUUAUUUAUUCCAUCCUUAGAAGGUUUUGCCAUGCUUCUGAAAGCCUCGGUAUCUUAUUGUACUGUUAUAUAUUCGACACGGUGAUGAAGCAAGAAUUAAUCAGAUAACAAUAUAGUAAAAAUAUAGAUAAUAAUGGAGCAUAGAAAUACAUUUUAUAUUCCAAAACAGAAAAUUCCUAUUGCGCAAGUAAUACAUUUAAGAAUGUCGCUUCGGCAAUAAAAUAGAUAUCUAUGAUUAAAAUCAUGUAGAAAAUAUUCUCACGUCUAGUCUUCGCAACAUUCUAAAAAAGCUCCUUUGCUUUCCUAGUGUUUCUUAUUAAAAUAGUGCCAGUGCAUCGGUUUAGCAUUUUUAUUAAAAGAACUUAGUAAAUAAUUAAUUUAUUAUAAGUUUGCACUUAUAAAUUUUUAAGUUACGCUUGCCUAUGUAUUUUGUACAAAUAAUGUAGCUAUAAUGUACUGGAUUAAUUGUGCCAGUGAUAUGUUAUAGCUUGAAUCUUUAUCAAGUAUAAUACCUGUAUCUAAAUGUUUUAAAAUAUAUAAGCAGGUAUAAUACGAAUAAAUAUAUUUUCGUAUUAUUA